This 21-nucleotide non-coding RNA is filed under the name Rattus norvegicus (Norway rat). The record is from RNAcentral. Lineage: Eukaryota; Metazoa; Chordata; Mammalia; Rodentia; Muridae.
AAUGUGAGGAUGGUAUACAGU